This 112-nucleotide ribosomal RNA is filed under the name Pteropus alecto (black flying fox). Lineage: Eukaryota; Metazoa; Chordata; Mammalia; Chiroptera; Pteropodidae. The record is from RNAcentral.
GUCUACAGCCACGCCACCCCGAACAAGCCAUCUCAUCUCGGAAGCUAAGCAGGGUCGGGCCUAGUUAGUACUUGGAUGGGAGACCACCUAGGAAGACCAGGUGCAGUAGGCG